Molecule: ribosomal RNA, 390 nt
Filed under: uncultured bacterium
Lineage: Bacteria
Description: bacterial SSU rRNA
Rfam family: Bacterial small subunit ribosomal RNA
Source: RNAcentral
AUUGAACGCUGGCGGCAUGCCUUACACAUGCAAGUCGAACGGCAGCACGGGGGCAACCCUGGUGGCGAGUGGCGAACGGGUGAGUAAAGCAUCGGAACGUGCCCAAUAGUGGGGGAUAGCCCGGCGAAAGCCGGAUUAAUACCGCAUACGACCUGAGGGUGAAAGCGGGGGAUCGCAAGACCUCGCGCUACUGGAGCGGCCGAUGUCAGAUUAGGUAGUUGGUGGGGUAAAGGCCUACCAAGCCUGCGAUCUGUAGCUGGUCUGAGAGGACGACCAGCCACACUGGGACUGAGACACGGCCCAGACUCCUACGGGAGGCAGCAGUGGGGAAUUUUGGACAAUGGGCGCAAGCCUGAUCCAGCCAUGCCGCGUGCGGGAAGAAGGCCUCGG